RNAcentral lists this transfer RNA (67 nucleotides) under Cautires sp. UPOL AJ0077. RNAcentral describes it as "tRNA-Glu". Lineage: Eukaryota; Metazoa; Arthropoda; Insecta; Coleoptera; Lycidae. The record is from RNAcentral.
AUUUAUAUAGUUUAAAUAAAACACUACACUUUCAUUGUAAUAUUAAAUAUCAAUUAUUUUAUAAAUA